This 963-nucleotide long non-coding RNA is filed under the name Homo sapiens (human). Its description in RNAcentral is "long non-coding RNA NONHSAT171427.1". The record is from RNAcentral. Lineage: Eukaryota; Metazoa; Chordata; Mammalia; Primates; Hominidae.
UUUUUUUUUAAUUUCUCUCCACGUUCCCAAAUGUUUUAUUUCAAAUAGCAUCAUUUUCUCCUGAAAAAUACCUGAAAAAUUUUAGAACAGUUUUUAUUAUGCAUAUUUAUGAUGAAAGUUUGUAUCUUAAUGUAUUUGCUUUCUCAUUUUUCUUCCUUUUUUUUCUUUUAGAAAUAUUCAAAUUUUAAAACAACAAUUAAGUGGAUUAUGGGAACAGGAAAACCAUCUUACUUUGGUUCCAGGAUAUACUGGUAAUAUAGCUAAGGUCCUCUGCGUGUAACUGUGACCUUGGCAGCAAGCACAGGAAUUGGCCAUUGAACAUGUUUCAUGUACAGCCCCUGAAAUGCUAUGCUAGAGGAUAUUUACAGAGGGUUUUAAUCAGAGAAAAGUAUUUGAAAAAAUUUUGAGAAUCCAAUAAGGACAGCAUCAGAAAACAAGACGAGGAACUCAGGAAACAAGGGAUAAGAAACAUAAUUAAAUGGUUUUGGAGAUUAAGUUUUACUUUUGCUAAUGUUAUGCUUUUUGAGAAGGUAAACUAUUUAAAUCACAGUGAAUUUGACUUUGGUCUUUAUUGAUUUGUCUCGUAAAGGAAAAAGUAAAAAUUGCUAGUUUGAAUUUUAAUAUUUAAACUCCAGAAAACAUUGGUAGUUAGGCCGGGCACAGUGGCUUACGCCUGUAAUCCUAGCACUUAGGGAGGCCAAGGCAAGCAGAUCACCUGAGGUCAGGAGUUCGAGACCAGCCUGGUUGGUGAAACCCCGUUUCUACUAAAAAUACAAAAAAUUACCUGGGUGUGAUGGCACGUGCCUGUAAUCCCAGCUACUCGGGAGGCUGAGGCAGGAGAAUCACUUGAACCUGGGAGGCGGAGGUUGUGGUGAGCUGAGAUCGUGCCAUUGCACUCCAGUUUGGGCAACAGAGUGAAACUCCGUCUCAAAAAAAAAAAAGAAAGAAAAAACAUUAGUAGUU